GAUGAACGCAAGCUACAGGCUUAACACAUGCAAGUCGAGGGGAAACGAUAUCGAAAGCUUGCUUUUGAUGGGCGUCGACCGGCGCACGGGUGAGUAACGCGUAUCCAACCUGCCCACCACUUGGGGAUAACCUUGCGAAAGUAAGACUAAUACCCAAUGAUAUCUCUAGAAGACAUCUGAAAGAGAUUAAAGAUUUAUCGGUGAUGGAUGGGGAUGCGUCUGAUUAGCUUGUUGGCGGGGUAACGGCCCACCAAGGCUACGAUCAGUAGGGGUUCUGAGAGGAAGGUCCCCCACAUUGGAACUGAGACACGGUCCAAACUCCUACGGGAGGCAGCAGUGAGGAAUAUUGGUCAAUGGGCGAGAGCCUGAACCAGCCAAGUAGCGUGCAGGAUGACGGCCCUAUGGGUUGUAAACUGCUUUUAUAAGGGAAUAAAGUGGGAGUCGUGACUCUUUUUGCAUGUACCUUAUGAAUAAGGACCGGCUAAUUCCGUGCCAGCCGCCGCUGUAA
Molecule: ribosomal RNA, 508 nt
Filed under: uncultured bacterium
Lineage: Bacteria
Description: partial 16S ribosomal RNA
Rfam family: Bacterial small subunit ribosomal RNA
Source: RNAcentral